This 542-nucleotide ribosomal RNA is filed under the name Deinococcus sp. Bacteria_19. RNAcentral's name for it is "bacterial SSU rRNA". It matches the Rfam family "Bacterial small subunit ribosomal RNA", at positions 40 to 603 of the family's 1533-position model. Lineage: Bacteria; Thermotogati; Deinococcota; Deinococci; Deinococcales; Deinococcaceae. The record is from RNAcentral.
CGGCGUGCUUAGAAUGCAAGUCGAACGGCCUAGCUUGCUAGGCAGUGGCGCACGGGUGAGUAACACGUGACUGACCUACCCCGAAGUUCUGAAUAACCUGGCGAAAGUCGGGCUAAUACAGGAUGCGCAGUAUCGCUUUGGCGAUACUGCAAAGAUUUAUCGCUUUGGGAUGGGGUUGCGUUCCAUCAGCUUGUUGGUAGGGUAAAGGCCUACCAAGGCGACGACGGAUAGCCGGCCUGAGAGGGUGGCCGGCCACAGGGGCACUGAGACACGGGUCCCACUCCUACGGGAGGCAGCAGUUAGGAAUCUUCCACAAUGGGCGAAAGCCUGAUGGAGCGACGCCGCGUGAGGGAUGACGGUCUUCGGAUUGUAAACCUCUGAACUAGGGACGAAAGACACGCAAGUGGGAUGACGGUACCUAGGUAAUAGCACCGGCUAACUCCGUGCCAGCAGCCGCGGUAAUACGGAGGGUGCGAGCGUUACCCGGAAUCACUGGGCGUAAAGGGCGCGUAGGCGGCAUGUUAAGUCUGGUUUUAAAGACA